CCUACGGGUGACAGCAGUGAGGAAUAUUGGUCAAUGGGCUUACGCCUGAACCAGCCAAGUCGCGUGAGGGAAGACUGCCCUAUGGGUUGUAAACCUCUUUUGUCGGGGAGCAAGGCCCGCCACGUGUGGCGGGAAGGAGAGUACCCGAAGAAAAGGCAUCGGCUAACCCCGUGCCAGCAGCCGCGGUAAUACGGAGGAUGCGAGCGUUAUCCGGAUUUAUUGGGUUUAAAGGGUGCGUAGGCGGAAGGUUAAGUCAGCGGUAAAAUGUCGGUGCUCAACACCGGCCUGCCGUGGAAACUGGUCUUCUUGAGUGAGCGAGAAGUAUGCGGAAUGCGUGGUGUAGCGGUGAAAUGCAUAGAUAUCACGAAGAACUCCGAUUGCGAAGGCAGCAUACCGGCGCUCAACUGACGCUGAGGCACGAAAGCGUGGGGAGCGAACAGGAUUAGAUACCCCGGUAGUC
Molecule: ribosomal RNA, 460 nt
Filed under: uncultured bacterium
Lineage: Bacteria
Description: partial 16S ribosomal RNA
Rfam family: Bacterial small subunit ribosomal RNA
Source: RNAcentral